AUCAUCUUUAUCUGGUUGUUCUCCUUUCUCUUUUUCUUUUUCUCCUUCAUCUAUUUUUUUUCUAGGGCCUCUGUUUUUCCACUCACUUCUUUAUCUCCUUUUUCAUCCUCUGUUUCCCCAGAGACAGAUACUUUCCUCAUUUUUUCUUCUGCCUUCUUUGUUUUUUCUUUUUUCUUUUCCCGCUCGCCCAUCACAAUUUCUGCUCGCUUUUGUUCUGCUUCCCUCUUUUUAUCAAGAUGAGCUUCCCA
This 248-nucleotide long non-coding RNA is filed under the name Ananas comosus (pineapple). Its description in RNAcentral is "long non-coding RNA (ACOM_LNC043614)". The record is from RNAcentral. Lineage: Eukaryota; Viridiplantae; Streptophyta; Magnoliopsida; Poales; Bromeliaceae.